This 76-nucleotide transfer RNA is filed under the name Gonorynchus abbreviatus (bighead beaked sandfish). RNAcentral's name for it is "tRNA-Thr". It matches the Rfam family "tRNA". Rfam says of the family: Transfer RNA (tRNA) molecules are approximately 80 nucleotides in length. Their secondary structure includes four short double-helical elements and three loops (D, anti-codon, and T loops). Lineage: Eukaryota; Metazoa; Chordata; Actinopteri; Gonorynchiformes; Gonorynchidae. The record is from RNAcentral.
GCCCCAGUAGCUAAGAACGCCCUAAAGCGCCGGUUUUGUAAUCCGGAUAUCGGAGGUUAAAAUCCACCCUGGUGCC